Molecule: long non-coding RNA, 4201 nt
Organism: Zingiber officinale
Lineage: Eukaryota; Viridiplantae; Streptophyta; Magnoliopsida; Zingiberales; Zingiberaceae
Exons: 4
Source: RefSeq, a predicted model, not a curated record
AUGGGGUUUGUGCUCCACUUGAAAUCUCAAACUAUAAACCCUCGCUACGUCUCGCCUCCCUUCCUGCAACUGCCACCGGCGAUCGAUCCCGUCGCCGAUGCCGAACUUCCUUAGUUUCCAUCCACAGAACUCAUCUCCGCGUCCCCUACUCGUACACAUCUGCGCUAAUUGAGUUCUUUUCCGUGUUCACUUACAAGCAUCACCGCUGUGAGUUGAAUCCGUCGCCGCCGCCACCGCCUCUAAUUUCUUCGCAUCUAUAGAUUCUUGGCGCCUUCCCACCUGCUGCAACCUCUGUCGCGGCUUUUUGCUCCUAUGGAAUCGCAGUCGAUCAACUCCCAGUGUGACGUAGCUGCGAAUCCAAGAAUAAAAGCGAUGAAUGUACAAAGAGAAGUAAGGAACAACAAUAGUGAAAUUUACAGAUUCUGAAGCAGAGCCUCUUUGUUAAGGGUCCAUCACAGAAUAUGGGUCCACCAUAGCUCUAGGAAAUAGUCAACAAGCUUCUAAAUAGUGUAUGUUUACCUAAGCAUGAUAAAUAUCCUCUGAUAUGGGAAGCCACUCUUUCUGUCAUUGUCCAUUAGGUGGAAAAGGUGACUUAUGCAUUUUAAAUAUCAGAGCAAGAGCUUCUCGUGCAGCUUAAUUCUUAUUUGUAAAAGAUCAAAGGUAUCCUUAUUCUCUGUAAAUUUGUUCAAUAUUAUUUUUCUAACAUUAUUCUCGAUAUCACCUCAUUAAAGAAGAUGCAUUCUACUUUAGUAUUUGUAUUUAUCAAAGGGAGUAUGUAUUCCAAAAUACCCCUUCCCACCACUUGUGCAAAUUGAAAUGUUGAACUUCCUUCUACUCACCCAAACAAAGUACUAAAUCUUUCUAUGUCUGUUUAAACCGAACCGCAUUAAGAAGCCAAAGGGCAAAUCCUUUCAUUAUGUACUUUUGAUUAAAAGUGUUUGAUGACCUAACAGAUUUUGGUUUUGUACCAAAAGUAAUACAAUUUCACCUCCUAUGGUCCUUAAGUUUGAUUGUGCUGUUCUUUCAAUAUUUUGAGUCCUUUAGGGCCAUAAAACACUUUUGGCUAAAGGUACUUAUUGGCUAUGAAGAUCUCAUAUCAGUGCCAAAUCGAGCUAAAAGUACUUAGUGGCUAUGAAGAACUCAUGUUUGUGCCAAAUCAGCACCAUUGCAACCUCAUUGGUUUGCUUAGUAUAUCUCUACUUUUUUUUUUUUCAAGAUUUUGAGCUCAGAUUCAUGCCAAAUGUGCCCUGUUGCACCUUGUUGAUCAUCAUAGGUUAAGGCUUGAUCUUGAGUCAAGCCUUCUGAUAAGGCUUUUGUUCUGUAAUUUAAUGGAAGCCUUUUAUUACCUUUAAAUUCUUUUUCUUGCAUAUUAUGAAAUAUAAAUCCUAUGUGUUCAUGGCAUGCAUGCUUUAUUUGAUUCGUACUCAUUGUUUAUAUUGAUGCAUGCAUGUAGUAUUUUUCUUCUACGAGGAUGCAUGUAUAGAAUUGCUAUCUAUAUAAUGAUUAGAGAUUAUUCUCAUGACUUGUUGCUUGUUACUAACUCAUCAUGUAUGGUAUACUUACGCUAACAUAGAGAACUUAUACUCCUUGUAUUAUUAUUCAGUUUACUGCCCAUUAGAUCAUUUGUCCAAUUUCUUCCAUGGAUGCCAAGAAAGCCCUUGCUCUUGUUCAAUCUAGGCUCUAUGACCCUAACUAUAUCCAUGCAAUGUUCAAAUCCUCUGAGAGCAACUACCGAAGUACUAUCUGAUCUCCCACCUCAAAUCCUCCAUUUUUUCUUUGCCAUUAUGGAUUUGGUAGAUUCUACCAUUUCUCACUUUGUUCAUUUCUGGAUCUCUAAGAAAAAAAUUUUCAUUCAUUUUCAGAAAAUUGAAGUUCCUUAUCAUGAACUCCAUUUCAAAUGCUUGUAACAGCUCUAUCCUCCUCCUUGGUCCACAAGGAUCAAGAAAGGUCCUUUAGCAUCUUUCCACUAGACAUACACAAUUGUCCUUCUUGUUGUUCAGGUGGUUGACUUGGUCCUUGAAGAUUUGAAAAGUCAACGCCCUGAUUUGAUUUUAUGGUAUAGUAUUAUGUUUCUUGUUUUCUGACCCUUUUCACUGGUUUAUUUUUUGUUGUCUUGUUCUAUUGUGCAUUUGUUAGUAAGAGAUCUCUAAGUAUAUAGCAAUGUUUUGUGUGUGUGUGUGGUUAGAUCUUUAUCAAACCUUCUUGGGUUUUUUCAAUCUUCUUUGUUUUUCUGAUUGUUAAAAUUUCAUGAUGGGUAGAUAGCCCAUGCAUUUGUUCUGUGUUUAUUUAGUGGGAAGGAAGUAAGGAAGAAAGGAAAUAGUUUUAAGGGAAACAAAGUAAGAAAUACAUUUAUCAUAUUUCAACCAAUGUGAAAGCAAGUCACUUAUGUUAGUUAUAGAUUUUUCCCUCUACUUCCAUUUAAUUUUGGCUGCUAUAAAAUGGAAGAUUUGGAUGAGAUGAUAAUUUUUUCUCCCCUUAUCUUCCUUCCAAGUAAACAAGAUGAUUUGGCAAUUCAAUUCUUUUUCCUUCCCUUACCCUCUUAUUUCAUCCAAGUGAAUAGCAUGAUACUUGUGAGCUUAAAAUGUCUAAGAAAAUAGAAUGUCUACUAAUAUCUGAACUGGAACUAUUAAAUUGUUAUUCUGAUUUGCAGAGAAUUUUAUUGAUCUUAGUAUAGAAUAGAGAAAUCAGUGGAAGGGAGGAAUUUUCAAGUGGAGCACAAACCACAUUGUUCUUUUUUCAAAUAAGACCCUCCAGUAAACAAUGAGCAUGAUUAAACAGGAUAUUUCGGUAUACAUGAUUUUGGAUGCAGACCAACUUCUUGAUAAAAGAGAAAGAGUCCGAUCCAAGUUUUCUCGCAGAAAAACUACUUUUUUUUCCUUCUCUAACUUAUCAUGAAUUUCUUAUCAAGUCUAAUAUCUUUCCAAACAAUUAAUCCUCAGUUUUCAUCAUUUUGAUAUGUUAUCAAAUUGAUGGAGCACAUAUUAUACUUGCCAAAAGAUUUAGGUCUCCCCUCUAAAUAUGUUGCAGAAUUCAAUUCACUUAUCAUCCUCUUGAUCUCACUGUGUACAUUCAAUAUUAUUGUGUAACUUGCUUGUCAGAGAGGAUUAAUAACCAAAACUGCAGAGGUUGCUACUUGUACUGGAAAAAUAGUCCUGCAAGUCUUCUGUAUAAAUUCAAUUACCAGUAUGAUUUUGAUGUGAGAUUAUUGUUGUUAUGAUGGAUAUACCUGGAUAGAUGACAUGUAAAAUGCUCUAGGAUUCAUGAUUUUUAUAUGAGAUUAUCUAGUAUCAUGAUUUACUUGUAUUUAUGAGAUGCAAAACGCUCUAGGAUGCAUGGAUAUGCCAUCUUAGUUCACAUAGUUCCAGUUCAAAUAGGAGAAUGCACAAAUUUCUUUCUCAUUAUUAUUAUUUUCAUGAUCAUUGAGUUGUGCAGUAAUUAGUUAAUGAGUAAAACUGUGAGUGUUUGCAAGACAUUUUAAAUGAAAGCUCAAAAAAAUCCUGGAUUCUGUUUUAUAUAUCAAUGGAACAAUUAGCAACUUGGUGCAGUUUCUGUAAGUUUAUUUAUCUUCUUUUUUUUUUUUUCAAGAUUGAAGCACUGUACUUUUAGUUUUUAGUUCAUCUUUUGAGAAAUUUUCCUUCAGAUUCCUAGCUGUGGCUUCUAUAAAUUUAGAAUCUGGUUUGAUCCCUGGAAAAUCUCAGAUUUCCCAGAUUAUUUUGCCAGCAACAGCCCAAGAGUCAGUCCUCCAAGGAGUCUCGAUUCUGGAACUAUACAUUCUGGUGUGCACGAAUAGGUUGAAAUGUAAAGAUCGGAAUUCAUACAACUUCAAUUAUCAUGAAAGGUAAGUCAAAAUUUGCUCCAUUUAUGAUUGGUGUUAAAGGCAGUUGCUGAAAUGAAUUCUUUUUGAGUAUAAAGAUGAGACAGUUUGUGUCUGAGGGUUCUUAUAGGCUUUUGAACAUCUCUUGGGACGAGAGUUGUUUAGUUUUGUUCACAACAAGGGACGUAAUUUGUCCAUUGAACUUCAACCAGUGAAACUUUUGGUUUCACCUCUUGAACUGUACCUGGGGUUGAAGUAAAGCUCUUCAUGCCCUGUAUGUGCUCAAGCUAUAUUUCUCAUAACUAAUUUGAUCUUAGUAGUUAAUUAUUCCACAAGAAUGUCAUAUGCCUUGUAUAGCUGGGAGAUGCAAGGAUCUUAUUUUCUGUU